GCUCAAUCUUUUAAUAAAGGAAGACGAAACACUUCCUAAACUGAAAUUCUGUAAUGUGCUAAUGUUUUGGUUAGCAAUAGCCUUGGUUAUAAGCAGAAUUGAUGAAGUGGGUGUUGGAAUUAUAUUGGACCAUGAAUUUGUCCAAUUUUCUCGCCGUAAGUCUCGCUCGGCCCAACUUCCAUUUUCUUUUAAAGGCCCUCGUCAGGUUCAUAGCCGCCACCAAACUCAAGGGAUUUUUUUAUCUCCACAUCAAUCUGGAUUGAAUUUAUCAGGCCUGCAGUAAACAAAUCAACUUGUUGAUCUACCCGAACUGUUGUUGCAUGAGCUAGGAGGCUUUGGAACUGAUGUUUGUAUUCUUCCCUCGUCCUUUUCUGUUUUAGAUUAGCCAAAUUGCUCAAAAGAUUGCUAUUGAAUGGAGGCCUGAAUCUCAAAUUGCAAUAUUCUU
This 445-nucleotide unclassified non-coding RNA is filed under the name Hevea brasiliensis (rubber tree). Lineage: Eukaryota; Viridiplantae; Streptophyta; Magnoliopsida; Malpighiales; Euphorbiaceae. The record is from RNAcentral.